Molecule: long non-coding RNA, 2868 nt
Organism: Gadus chalcogrammus (walleye pollock)
Lineage: Eukaryota; Metazoa; Chordata; Actinopteri; Gadiformes; Gadidae
Exons: 3
Source: RefSeq, a predicted model, not a curated record
UGAUCUGGACGACGUGUUUCUCUGAUGAAUUCAUCUUUUCGAGUCACUCCACCCUGCUGCAGUUUUCAGUUCACUGAUCUGUUGGCUCACGUGUGAGGGCGGUUUUAUAUUUAUAUAUUUCACAUGCAUGAAUGUAAAUCUAGAAUUGAAAGACUCUAGGGAAACGACCAGAGUCCCUACCUUUGACUACAUCGUGUGUAAGUGUGUAUAAACUAUGACCGUUAUACGGCGGAUUGCUGUUGUGUUGCUGUUUUGCAGCAACAGGCGCUCCCCUCUUGACCCCCAUUCUCGAGUGUUUCUUUAUCAUCGAUCUGCCUGCAUUUCAAAACGAUGAGAGCAGUGACUGAGCAGUGACCCCGGCCCCCACCCGAGAAUUGAUGAGGCUCCGCAGUAUCGGGAGAAGUUUCUGCUAACAUUGAUUACAAAACACCUAUAGAGAUGACUAUCGUGUUAUCGUGCGAAGGGGCAGUUAAUAUCUGCGCGCCUGAAAUAACUGCAUCUGCCCGGGAGCUUUUUUUCUUCGCUCUAACGACAUGAAAAUUCGGACCAAAUUGAUCACAGCAGUGGUGCUUUCGAUAUCGAUGUGGGUGCGGCUCGAGCGAAUCAGAACGUGAGGUCACGUUCUCAAGGCUAGUAGCCUAUAAGACAGCAUUUGUCAUGAAUGCAGGAAUCUUUCUGAUUUUGACAGAAGACUAACACGUCGAUAGAAGAGAGGAAAUGGCAUCACAUUUGGUUUUCCAGAUGUCGGGCCCUCGCCAGUGCAACGUUGAGAUUGAAAAUGCUACCAAGUCCUACCACCUUGCUGGACCAAGAAUCUACUCCAACUGGUAUGCAGUGGGAGUUUUCGACAGCAACAAAAGAUGUGAUGGGGAACUUUACAAUGAGUUGUACAACAGCAAUCACAGUGGUCUUUUGAGAGGGGCAGCCAAAGAUGACCCUAUUCGCCAUACACACGGUAAUUUAGUCAUUGAUGCUGCAAUGUCAAACACCCACACUCCGCACUUGUUGGUGAAAGUUCAUCAAGAUAAGAAAGGAAAGCUCAGUUUGCCGAAAUUCAGAAUUAUGGCUGUGCACAUAGGUAAACUAGUAGAAGCUGUCGUUAAUGAUAUCGGUGUUUAAUUGUGUACAGUGGUACAAAGUAACGCGUUACAGUCGCGAUAUUACUUUUUUGGGUAACGAAGUGAAGUAACGCAUUGCAUAAAAAAUAUCGGUAACUACACUACUUUACUAGGCUAUAGUAACACGCUUUCUUGUGUUACCCAAACCGUGUUUGCCUGCGUGUAAAGUUCUGAUCUGUUGUGGUGCGUGCAUGCGUGCUUGCCUGUGUGUCUGCAGCGCCUGCUUGCCUCGGCACGUUGCCAUAGCGAUCGAUUUGAGUGACGUAGCUGCUUGUGGGAAGGAGUGUUCAAGUGUCGGAGCGCAGAAGCAGGUGACACAGAAAGACCGGCUGGUUGCAGGCUUCAUUGUGGAAGACAUGCUCCCCCUGUCGACUAUUGAAUCGCCCAGAUUUAGAAAAAAUACUAGAUAGAAUACCCGCGACUCGCAAGCCAACAUCCGACAAGGAAAACAUUUUCCCAUUACCUGAACAAGUGUUAUACCGACAUUGAAUCGGAGCUCAAAAUAAUUUUCGAGUCCUCCCUGGAACAUGUGUCCAGCACUGCGGACAUUCGGUCCGCCAAAACAAAAAAUACUUAGGAGUUACUGCACCAGAUAGGCAGCAUUACUUUAAAACUUGAGAAGGCUGCUCUUGCCUGCAAGAGGGUGAGAGGAAGACACAAGCACAUAAUUUACACAAGGGACUUGUUUUAGACAAGUUUUGAUUUACGGUUCCUUUAAGGUUCCUUAAGGAUUGCGCGUGUUGCAAGGGGAUUCUCCGCCAGAACAGUAGGGGGAGCAACGAACGAAUCUGUGGGCGUGGAAGUGGAAAUCGCUGGCUUGUUUAUAUUUAUAAUUAUCAUAAUUCGUUCAUGUGUUUUCUUCUCCUUCUUCAAAAUUCUUCAUUCGCUUCUGUCACGGCCUUUUAAAAAUGGCGCUAUUAUGCUGUAAAACCGGAAAUGUGAGACUCCUGAAAGGAUGUGGUUAGCUGGCCAAUCACAGUCUUUGCGAGCUGCGUAGGGCCGUAGUGUUUUAGUCGCAUAGUCAGGAAUUUUGGCCGACGCACUUAAGCACGUAAGGGGGGAUAUUUUACCGCGCAAGUGGGGGUUAUGUAUCUUACGUGCUUACGCGUUACGUCUAAAACAGAGCAUAUAUCGGCCUUAACGAUGUCCUAGCUUGCGAAAUAGAUCAGGUUCAUUCAGCCUUUGGACCACAUAAAGUAACAGUGUGUGUCACCGCCGCUUAACUGCAUUUCUGUUUUAAUUGUAUGGGAUAUGUGACCUUUUUAUAUUUUUCAUUGACCGCUUAAUUUUUGUUUUAUGUUUCCCAAAGCCUGUCUUUUGAAGCUUGAGUGUUGCUACUGAUUGACCUCACCAUAGCCUACUUUAUCCUGUUGUUUGUGGAGUUUACAGUGAGGCGUUUCUUUGUGCAGAGAGGGAUAUCGUUCUUUCAUAUGGUUUUAUAUGCUAUUUUGUAUGGAUUUCUACAAUAAACACUAAGUGAUGACAGGGCUAUGAUGUUUGUCCAUGUAUCUACAAUAAAUUAAGAAACGGGAAAGUAAAGUAUAGCCUAAGUAGUGAAGUUACUUUUUAAAUGUAGUAACUAGUAAAGUAAUCUCAUUACAAUUUACAGAAGUUACUAGUAAUAAUUUACUAGUACUUUUUUUUUGAGUAACUACCCAAACACUGAUUAUGUAUCCAUUUUGAUUUUUUGUAAUAACCAAUAAAUUGCAGGCGAAAAUGUACUACUCUUGAACUGUUUCUAAAAUUCAUU